Molecule: ribosomal RNA, 494 nt
Filed under: uncultured bacterium
Lineage: Bacteria
Description: partial 16S ribosomal RNA
Rfam family: Bacterial small subunit ribosomal RNA
Source: RNAcentral
GAUGAACGCUGGCGGCGUGCUUAACACAUGCAAGUCGAACGGGAAACAUUUCAUUGAGGCUUCGGCGGAUUUGGUCUGUUUCUAGUGGCGGACGGGUGAGUAACGCGGGGGUAACCUGCCUUGUACUGGGGGAUAACAGCCAGAAAUGGCUGCUAAUACCGCAUAAGCGCACGGGACCGCAUGGUCCUGUGUGAAAAACUCCGGUGGGAUGAGAUGGACCCGCGUUGGAUUAGCUAGUUGGCAGGGCAGCGGCCUACCAAGGCGACGAUCCAUAGCCGGCCUGAGAGGGUGAACGGCCACAUUGGGACUGAGACACGGCCCAGACUCCUACGGGAGGCAGCAGUGGGGAAUAUUGCACAAUGGGGGAAACCCUGAUGCAGAGACGCCGCGUGAAGGAAGAAGUAUCUCGGUAUGUAAACUUCUAUCAGCAGGGAAGAUAAUGACGGUACCUGACUAAGAAGCCCCGGCUAACUACGUGCCAGCCGCCGCGGUAA